GGAUUGUGGCUCAGUGUAAGAGCUCUUGCCUGGCAUGCAUGAGGCGCUGGGUUCGAUCCCUGGCACCA
Molecule: transfer RNA, 68 nt
Filed under: Marmota monax (woodchuck)
Lineage: Eukaryota; Metazoa; Chordata; Mammalia; Rodentia; Sciuridae
Description: tRNA.Ala
Rfam family: tRNA (bases 5-65)
About the family: Transfer RNA (tRNA) molecules are approximately 80 nucleotides in length. Their secondary structure includes four short double-helical elements and three loops (D, anti-codon, and T loops). Further hydrogen bonds mediate the characteristic L-shaped molecular structure. tRNAs have two regions of fundamental functional importance: the anti-codon, which is responsible for specific mRNA codon recognition, and the 3' end, to which the tRNAs corresponding amino acid is attached (by aminoacyl-tRNA synthetases). tRNAs cope with the degeneracy of the genetic code in two manners: having more than one tRNA (with a specific anti-codon) for a particular amino acid; and 'wobble' base-pairing, i.e. permitting non-standard base-pairing at the 3rd anti-codon position.
Source: RNAcentral